AUACGGAGGGGGCUAGCGUUGCUCGGAAUUACUGGGCGUAAAGGGCGCGUAGGCGGACUUUUUUAGUCAGGCGUGAAAGCCCCGGGCUCAACCCGGGAACUGCGUUUGAUACUGGAAGUCUAGAGUUCUGGAGAGGGUGGUGGAAUUCCCAGUGUAGAGGUGAAAUUCGUAGAUAUUGGGAAGAACACCGGUGGCGAAGGCGGCCACCUGGCCAGACACUGACGCUAAGGCGCGAAAGCGUGGGGAGCAAACAGGAUUAGAUACCCCAGUAGUCC
RNAcentral lists this ribosomal RNA (275 nucleotides) under uncultured bacterium. RNAcentral's name for it is "partial 16S ribosomal RNA". It matches the Rfam family "Bacterial small subunit ribosomal RNA", at positions 523 to 796 of the family's 1533-position model. The record is from RNAcentral.